CAGAAAACCAAAUGCCGCAUGUUCUCACUUACAAGUGGGAGCUAAACAAUGAGUGCACAUGGACUCAAAGAAGGGAACAGUAGACACUGGGGCCUAUUUGAAGGUGUAGGGUAGGAAGAGGGAACUAUGUACUGAAGAUUUGGGGGCAAAAGAGGACCACAUCUGCAACUAACUGGAGAUGGUUCAGAAGAUGAUGCACACACACUCAAGCAUAUCGAGAGAGAAAGGGGCAGAGGACACAGAAGGCCCUGAGUUUAAUGUGCAUGUUUUGGGGAAUUUGGAAGAAGAGCCCCUGAUAAUUCAUCCUUCAUUAUUCUUGCAACUUUUCUCUAAAUCUGAAAUUAUAUUAAAAUAUAAAGUUAGAAGAAAACAUGAA
This 376-nucleotide long non-coding RNA is filed under the name Homo sapiens (human). RNAcentral describes it as "HSALNT0277347". Lineage: Eukaryota; Metazoa; Chordata; Mammalia; Primates; Hominidae. The record is from RNAcentral.